RNAcentral lists this ribosomal RNA (217 nucleotides) under Glomeromycotina sp. RNAcentral describes it as "partial small subunit ribosomal RNA". The record is from RNAcentral. Lineage: Eukaryota; Fungi; Glomeromycota.
GGGUCUGUCCAUCGGUCGGGCUUCACGGUCCGUACUGGUGAGAUGGGUUCCUACCUUCUGAAUAACCGGCAUGCCAUUCAGUUGGUGCGCCGGGGAAGCAGAGCUAUUACCUUGAAAAAUUAGAGUGCUUAAAGCAGGCUAGUGCUUGAAUAGAUUAGCAUGGAAUAAUAAAAUAGGACGGCAUGGUUCUAUUUUGUUGGUUUCUAGGAUCACCGUA